GCCUGGGUGGCUCAGUCAGUUAAGCGUCUGACUUCGACUCAGGUCAUAAUCUAUGGUUCGUGGGUUCGAGGCCCGCGUCGGGCU
This 84-nucleotide transfer RNA is filed under the name Felis catus (domestic cat). It matches the Rfam family "tRNA". Rfam says of the family: Transfer RNA (tRNA) molecules are approximately 80 nucleotides in length. Lineage: Eukaryota; Metazoa; Chordata; Mammalia; Carnivora; Felidae. The record is from Rfam by way of RNAcentral.